AGAGUUUGAUCCUGGCUCAGGAUGAACGCUAGCUANAGGCUUAACACAUGCAAGUCGAGGGGAAACGAUAUUGGAAGCUUGCUUCCGAUAGGCGUCGACCGGCGCACGGGUGAGUAACGCGUAUCCAACCUGCCCACCACUUGGGGAUAACCUUGCGAAAGUAAGACUAAUACCCAAUGACGUCUCUAGAAGACAUCUGAAAGAGAUUAAAGAUUUAUCGGUGAUGGAUGGGGAUGCGUCUGAUUAGCUUGUUGGCGGGGUAACGGCCACCAAGGCUACGAUCAGUAGGGGUUCUGAGAGGAAGGUCCCCCACAUUGGAACUGAGACACGGUCCAAACUCCUACGGAAGGCA
RNAcentral lists this ribosomal RNA (352 nucleotides) under uncultured bacterium. RNAcentral's name for it is "bacterial SSU rRNA". It matches the Rfam family "Bacterial small subunit ribosomal RNA", at positions 8 to 350 of the family's 1533-position model. The record is from RNAcentral.